Molecule: transfer RNA, 128 nt
Filed under: Oxalobacteraceae sp. CFBP 8753
Lineage: Bacteria; Pseudomonadati; Pseudomonadota; Betaproteobacteria; Burkholderiales; Oxalobacteraceae
Also listed under: 1 other name
Description: tRNA-Ala
Source: RNAcentral
GGCGGUGGAGCGCGCUGUCUCCGGACCAGGCCGUCACGCCUGGUCUGGCAAAUCGAUAGUGGGGAUACAGCGCCGCGCGAAAAUUGAAAAUCCUUGUGUCGGUGGUUCGAUUCCACCCCGGGCCACCA